This 2073-nucleotide long non-coding RNA is filed under the name Macaca fascicularis (crab-eating macaque). RNAcentral describes it as "lncRNA (ENSMFAG00000064148.1)". Lineage: Eukaryota; Metazoa; Chordata; Mammalia; Primates; Cercopithecidae. The record is from RNAcentral.
GUAUAGCGCGGUCUGUGGCUUCAGAGGGUGGAAGCCCCAACCCUUGGCAGCUUCCACAUGAUGUUGAACCUGCAGGUGCAUAGAAGUCAAGAAUUGAGGUUUGGGAACCUCUGCCUAGAUUUCAGAAGAUGUAUGGAAAUGCCUAGAUGCCCAGGCAAAAGUUUGCUGCAGGGGUGGGGCCCUCGGAGAACCUCUGCUAGGGCAGUGUGGAAGGGAAAUGUGGGGUCAGAGCCACACACAGAGUCCCUACUGGGGCACUGCCUAGUGGAGCUUUGAGAAGAGGGCCACCGUUCUCCAGACCCCAGAAUGGGAUCCACUGAUAGCUUGCAUCGUGCACCUGGAAAAGCCACAGACCCUCAACACCAGCCCAUGAAAGCAGCUGGGAAGGAGGCUGUACCCUGCAAAGCCACAGGGGCAGAGCUGCCCAGGAUCAUUGCAGGCUGUACCCUGCAAAAGCCGCAGGGGUGGAACCCACCUCUUACAUCAGUGUGACCUGGAUGUGAGACCUGAAGUCAAAGAUCAUUUUGGAGCUUUACAAUUUGACUGCCCUGCUGGAUUUCAGACAUGCAUGGGCCCUGUAACCCCUUUGUUUUGGCCAAUUUCUCUCAUUUGGAAUGGCUGUGUUUACCCAAUAUUUGUACCCCCAUUGUAUCUAGGAAGUAACUAGCUUGCUUUUGAUUUUAUAGGUUCAUAGGUGAAGGGACAUACCUUGCCUCAGAUGAGACUUUGUACUGUGAACUUUUGGGUUAAUGCUGAAGUAAGUCUUUGGUGGACUGUUGGGAAGGUAUGAUUGGUUUUGAAAUGUGAGGACAUAAGAUUUGGAGAGGUCAGGGGCAGAAUGAUAUGGUUUGGCUGCAUCCCCACCCAAAUCUCAACUUGAAUUGUAUCUCCCAGAUUUCCCACAUGUUGCGGGAGGGACCCGGGGAAGGUAAUUGAAUCAUGGGGCUGGUCUUUCCAUGCUAUUCUCGUGAUAUUAAGUCUCACAAGAUCUGAUGGGUUUAUCAGGAGUUUGCUCUUUUUCUCUUGCCCUCACCAUGUAAGAAGUGUCUUGCCUCCCACGAUGAUUUUGAGGCCUCCCUAGCCAUGUGGAACUUUUAAGUCCAAUUAAACCUUUUUCUUCCCCAUCUCGGGUAUGUCUUCAUCAGCAGCGUGAAGAGACUGAUAAAAGCAGAAGGAGGCCAAGUGUGGUGGCUCGCACCUGUAAUCCCAGCACUUUGGGAGGCCGAGGGCAGAUCAUAAGGUCAAGAGAUUGAGACCAUCCUGGCCAACAUGGUGAAACCCCAUCUCUACUAAAAAUACAAAAAAUAGCUGGCCGUGGUGGCGCAUACCUGUAGUCCUAGCUAAUAGGAAAGCUGAGGCAGGAGAAUCACUUGAACCCGGGAGGUUGCAGUGAGUCGAGAUCAUGCCACUGCACCACAGCCUGGGUAACAAGACUCCAUCUCCAAAAAAAUAAAAUAAAAAAGCUGAAGGAAGAACGAGGGAGAGAAUGAAUGAGAAGCAAUGAAGCAUAAUGCUGCACGAUGGAAGCUAAGUGGGCUGGGUGCAGUGGCUCACAGCUGUAAUCCCAGCACUUUGGGAAGCCAAGUCAGGAGGAUCGCUUGAGCCCAGAAGUUUGAGACCAGCCCAGGCUACAUGGAGAAACCCUGCCUCUACUAAAAACAGAAAAAUUGGCCAGGCGCGGUGCCUCACGCCUGUAACCCCAGCACUUUGGGAGGCCGAGGUGGGCGGAUCACAAGGUCAGAUCAAGACCAUCCUGGCUAACACGGUGAAACCCUGUCAUGGCCGGGCGCGGUGGCUCAAGCCUGUAAUCCCAGCACUUUGGGAGGCCGAGACGGGUGGAUCAUGAGGUCAGGAGAUCGAGACCAUCCUGGCUAACACGGUGAAACCCCGUCUCUACUAAAAAAUACAAAAAACUAGCUGGGCGAGGUGGCGGGCACCUGUAGUCCCAGCUACUCGGGAGGCUGAGGCAGGAGAAUGGCGUAAACCCGGGAGGCGGAGCUUGCAGUGAGCCGAGAUCUGGCCACUGCACUCCAGCCUAGGUGACAGAGCGAGACUCCGUCUCAAAAAAAAAAA